CAUGCAGUCGAGCGAAUCUGAGGGAGCUUGCUCCCAAAGAUUAGCGGCGGACGGGUGAGUAACACGUGGGCAACCUGCCUGUAAGACUGGGAUAACUUCGGGAAACCGGAGCUAAUACCGGAUAAUCCCUUUCCUCACAUGAGGAAAGGCUGAAAGACGGCUUCUACUUGUCACUUACGAAUGGGCCCGCGGCGCAUUACCUAUUUGGGGAGGUAACGGCUCACCAGGGCCACAAUGCGUACCCAACUGAAAGGGGGAUCGCCAGGGGACGGAAACGGCCCAAAUCUACGGAGGCACCAUUAGGACCUCGCAUGGACAAAGUCGACGACCACGCCGCGGGAGUGAUGAAGUUUUCGGAUCGUAAAACUCUGUUGUUAGGGAAAACAUUAUCGGAGUACUGCCGGUACCUUGACGGUACCUAACCAGAAACCACGGCUAACUACGUGCAGCAGCGCGGUAUACGUAGGUGGCAAGCGUGUCGGAUUAUGGGCGUAAAGCGCGCGCAGGUGUUCUUAAGUCUGAUGUGAAAGCCCACGGCUCAACCGUGGAGGUCAUUGGAAACUGGGGAACUUGAGUGCAGAAGAGGAAAGUGGAAUUCCAAGUGUAGCGGUGAAAUGCGUAGAGAUUUGGAGGAACACCAGUGGCGAAGGCGACUUUCUGGUCUGUAACUGACACUGAGGCGCGAAAGCGUGGGGAGCGAACAGGAUUAGAUACCCUGGUAGUCCACGCCGUAAACGAUGAGUGCUAAGUGUUAGAGGGUUCCGCCCUUUAGUGCUGCAGCAAACGCAUUAAGCACUCCGCCUGGGGAGUACGACCGCAAGGUUGAAACUCAAAGGAAUUGACGGGGGCCCGCACAAGCGGUGGAGCAUGUGGUUUAAUUCGAAGCAACGCGAAGAACCUUACCAGGUCUUGACAUCCUCUGACAAUCCUAGAGAUAGGACGUUCCCCUUCGGGGGACAGAGUGACAGGUGGUGCAUGGUUGUCGUCAGCUCGUGUCGUGAGAUGUUGGGUUAAGUCCCGCAACGAGCGCAACCCUUGAUCUUAGUUGCCAGCAUUCAGUUGGGCACUCUAAGGUGACUGCCGGUGACAAACCGGAGGAAGGUGGGGAUGACGUCAAAUCAUCAUGCCCCUUAUGACCUGGGCUACACACGUGCUACAAUGGAUGGUACAAAGGGCUGCAAGACCGCGAGGUUUAGCCAAUCCCAUAAAACCAUUCUCAGUUCGGAUUGCAGGCUGCAACUCGCCUGCAUGAAGCCGGAAUCGCUAGUAAUCGCGGAUCAGCAUGCCGCGGUGAAUACGUUCCCGGGCCUUGUACACACCGCCCGUCACACCACGAGAGUUUGUAACACCCGAAGUCGGUGGGGUAACCUUUGGAGUCAGCCGCU
This 1385-nucleotide ribosomal RNA is filed under the name Bacillus sp. (in: firmicutes). Its description in RNAcentral is "bacterial SSU rRNA". It matches the Rfam family "Bacterial small subunit ribosomal RNA". The record is from RNAcentral. Lineage: Bacteria; Bacillati; Bacillota; Bacilli; Caryophanales; Bacillaceae.